RNAcentral lists this non-coding RNA (26 nucleotides) under Mus musculus (house mouse). Lineage: Eukaryota; Metazoa; Chordata; Mammalia; Rodentia; Muridae. The record is from RNAcentral.
ACCAUACCAAGGCCAUCUUGGGAGAC